Molecule: ribosomal RNA, 174 nt
Filed under: Triticum aestivum (bread wheat)
Lineage: Eukaryota; Viridiplantae; Streptophyta; Magnoliopsida; Poales; Poaceae
Description: partial small subunit ribosomal RNA
Source: RNAcentral
AUGAAGAUCAUGAGCUGCCCCAUAAUGAAAUCGCCAGUAGUCGCGAAUAUCUCCUUCUUCCCUAAUCCAAGAUUGGAGAAAGAAGAUCUAAGAGGGACCUAUGGAGAAUGUAGUAAAUCCAUAAUAGAGUCCGACCACAACGACCGAAUUAAUUAUCCUCAUCGAGAAACUUAG